Heterocephalus glaber (naked mole-rat) is the source of this 6358-nucleotide non-coding RNA. NCBI's taxonomy places the organism in Eukaryota, Metazoa, Chordata, Mammalia, Rodentia, Bathyergidae. The record is from RefSeq and is a predicted model, not a curated record.
GAUUCCAGCCAGCCUCCAGUCAGAAGUCUCCGUUGUGUGGACUUGGAGGUACGUUUUGGUAUCUCAGGGAGCACAGCACCAGCCCACCGGGCCGGCCAAGGGUGCUGCAGUGCCGCACAGUGGUCUGCCUGUGGCUGCAGCUGUUUGCAGGAGACCAGCGUUAGAACCCACGCUGCACACUUGAGGUGGUGGUGAACACCACAGAGGUGCGAAGCCAGGUCCGGCCUAGUGCUGCCCUGGAAACCCAGGCAGCAUCGUUUUCACGGCAGGAGAACAGGUGCACUGAUGAAUCGAGUAUCUACCACUGUCCUGCAGCUCCCGACUGCUGAGUGUGUCACGGUGGCGAGGCUGCCUGCCAGGUGGAAGCACCGAAACACGGCUCCCAGAUGCAAACUGCAGGACUCCGAAGCUCCGGAGAGCCUGGUGCAGUUCCCACACUAAAUGGCCGUAACCAGAGGGUCAGCUCUCAGGGACCUGGCAGUGAGCUUGGGAAAGAGAGGCAUUCGCAAAACCACAACACAUUGACUUUUAAAUGGAAAACUCCAAAUUUAUUCCAAUUUCCAUGCGGGAUCAUCCUGAAAGACAGCGUAGCUGCAAUUUGGGAAAUAUGAUGCCUCAGAGGACCCUGUCCAGCAUAUUGCAGAAUGAAUCCUGAGUGGUUUUGAAUUCGGUCAUCAAGUCCUAAAAAUUCACGGAAUUAAUGGCUCAGCCAAAUCACAGUUCGCAAGCUCAGCGCUCUCUUCCUGCUGAAGCGAGCAGUGUGUGGACACCUCACAAAGGUCCAGGAGAGGCAGCCAGCGCUAACCUCCCGCAAGCAGGUUCUCCAUGGCUGCCUCCUCCUUCCCUCCAUCGCAGAUGGCCCUGACCGUGGUCAGCACGGCUGAACUGGCCUUGGAGAGGGAGUGGGGGCCUCACUGCCAGACCCUGGAGCCAGGGCUCCACGGGAACAACGCGGUGCUGCGUGGCCGGGAAGAUGGCCGAGGUCAGUGGCGACCAAUGACCUCACUGGACCCCCGGCUGGCACCUGGCCUCACCUAGCUGCACACAGCCUCCCGGCCACUCUCAAGUGUCUGCCCGCCUCUCUGGACGCAUGCACAAGCUUCCUCCACCCUGAGAGCUGGGAAGGCUCCUGCCUUGGGCUCGUGUCACAGCUCAGAUGUCAGCAGCCCUGGGACUUCAGGGACCCUGAGUCCUCCUGAACCUCCAUUCUCUCCUCUCCACAACAGAGGCCAAGUGCUGCUGCCUUGCUUAGUUUUCGCCAGGGUUAAAUGAGAACACACAGGAGGUGGUGGUUGUUAUUAUUGGCCUAAAAACAGCCAUUUCCUGGCAAAUAAAUGGGGAGAACAUAAACGUCUGGGAGCCUCAGACCAAGCCGGGUCCUUCCUGCCCUCCCCAGUGCUCUCAUGCCACCUUGCUUUGGUUUCCGUGGAAUGUCAGAACCCUGGGUUCUGGGGCUGCUUCUGCCACUCUUCAGUCUUGAGGGAAGCAUUUCCUAAACUGGAGGCCACAUUCUGGGGAUGAGGGGCCCAGCAGGCGUCUACCCGGAGCUGUGCUGGGGCUGGGAGCCCGCAGACCCCACUGUCCACCCUGAGCAGGGAGUCCCAGUCCAAACCCUGAAAGUCAGGAAAUGCCUCAGUGCCUCCUCUUCCAGAGGCUGUUUGGCCUCAACGUGCGCCCUGGGUCCUGGUUCCCUGGCCACGCUCUGCCCCCACCCUGCAGGCUCCCACAGGCCAAGCCCCUGCUGAAGCGCCAAGUGAGGGGAAGCUGGCCGUGCCUCCUCUUCCUCUGCCCCCAGGCUGCCGCUCGGUGCUGCUCACGGCUGGCCUCGGAGCUGGGCUGCCCGCCACAGGGCCUGGGCGGCACCUUCUCCCCACCCGCAGUUCUCUGCAGCCAAGGACAGGAGUAGCUGAGAAAUCAACUGGAGGUGCGAGUGAUGAGCCCUGAUACGCACACGUGGAGGAUGAUUUCUGGAAGACAACCAUUUGGGGAGAAGGAUGCUCAAGCGGCCCCAGCAGCCAUGGCAUGGAAGGGGGGAGAGGACCUGCCUCUGUCCCAGCCACCACCGCCUGCCUCCUCCACUGUCCGUGCUUGGUUACUGCCUCUGUGGAGCUCUUCAUCCCGGAAGCUCCUCCCCGUUUUUCGUCCUCAGAGGACCCCCUGCAAUGUCAGUGUCAACCUUCUCUGAGAACCCUUCCUACUGCUGACAUCCCUCUUUCUGGCUGGGCAGUCUUAUGUCCUCGCUGGCCUGAGACUUCUCCGGUGCGUGCACACCAGGGUAGGACUGCCUUGGAGACCCAGGUCUGCUGUGCUGUAGCUCCAUGAACUUUCUGUGUUGGGCACCAGUCACCUCCUCCUGUUGUAAGCGCCUGCCACACAGCAGUGCCUGCAAACGUUGCCAGCCCAAGAAGUCCUGCCUUGCGAGAGACCUUGAACGAUGCCUUCAGUGUGGGUAGAGUGUACCACACCAUCCAGGUCUUUCAUUUCACGACAGAAAUGGGAGCAGGCCGGGCCUGGUGGCACAUGCCUGUAAUCCCAGCACUCAGGAGGCUGAGGCAAGCAGAUCAUGCAAGUUCAAGCCUGGGCUACAUAGUGAGCUCAAGGCCAGCCUGAACUACAUAGCGACACCCUGUCUGAAAAAUCCAAACAAAACCAAAAAACCAAAAAAGAGAUGGAAGCAGAUGCAUCACACGCAGUCUCAGUUCCUUGGGUCCUGCCUGUCUUCCGGAAGCAGAGCUCAUCAUCAGAGGGAGAACUCAGUCUAGAGUUUUGGUUUUCUGUUACUCAAGAAGCAGUUGCUUUCUAGGAAUCAGAGGCCAACCAGGGAUGGCCUUCUGGAGCAGUGGUAAAGAAAUGACAGGGUAGAGAAUCCCCCCAGCGGAGCUUUUCCAGUUAAAUGUCCAGGGUGGACGGGCUGGGAAUUCCCCGGGAGUCUGCCUGGGGCCUCUGGAGUGAGCCUGUUCCCAGCACGCCGUGUGGGUGCUUCACACCUGAGGCUUCUGCCGCAGGCCGCCUGACUCGGGCCGGUUGGGACGAGGGUCCUGCAUCCAGGGGGAUGCACGCGGAGUAGACUGCAGCUCUUCAGGGCCUCGCUCCGUGGAGUCGUCAGCCCACGGGGGUGUGGAAGAGGGCCUGAGCAGGAAGGCUGUGAGGGCCCACGAGGGAAACUGGGGGCACUGAGCACAGAGCUGGCUUGGACGCUGCAGGCUUGGAGGGCUGUGGGGAGGGGACGCCACAGGCAGGAAGAGUCCGGGUGGGCCCCAGACCGGCAGAAGAGCAGGGGCCACCCAGGGCCAGCUGGAGGCCAGUAGGCGCCAGUGGAGGGGGGGGGGUGACAGGGAGGCCAGCUGAAGCCAGACCUCAGGGCCCGCCACGGCAGGCCGCAGGUAGGAGCAGGCCUGCCUUGCGUCUGAAGCCGGGCUGUGUCCUGAGGAAGCAGAGGGAGCAGAGGGUCUUCCCCUGGGGCAGAGAGGAUGUGAAGGUGGCCGUGGGCCUGGGAGGCCACUGGCCGCGGUGUGCAGAUCCGCUGCUGACCAUGGUGGCAAGGGAUGGGCUCAGAGGCGGCUGAGAGGGCCCUGCGGUCAGGACAGGGAUGUCAGAGGACAAGCACGUCUGGGCAGGAGGGCCCAAGACUGGUGCCAGAGGCUUGGAGCAGUCACACACACUUCCUCUUCGCACACGCGUGUGUUCCUGCACGUUCAGCUUUCGAGGGAGUGAUCUGGUGUCCACAGCCACCUGGGAGCAGCGGCCCCACCUGCAUUCGGUAAACACUCCACACCCACAGGGCGGGCGCUCCCAGGGCAGGGAGAAGGAAAGCCAGGAGGCAGAGUGUGCGUCGCCCCCACUUUGUAGACAGACUCCCGAAGGAAAAGCCUGGAGCUGGAGUGCAGGGAGCCCGGCUGAGGGCCUGGGCUGCAGCCAGGUUCGGAACGGGGACGGAGAAGUCGCUAUUCUGUCACUGCCGACUGCUCAUGAGUGGGGCCCCAGCUGCUGAGGGGGAGGCAGAGGAAGACCCCUCCCUAGCUCCAUGCCCAGCCUCUUGCAGGUCAGCCUAGGUCUUGCGGCCUGGGACGCCACCCAACUCUUCCCAGAAUCUCCUGCUGGCCCGAGGGGCUUGCCCAAGGCUUCCCUAAGUGUGUGCCAGGUGCUUCUCAAGAGGUCUGGCCCAUAUGAUCCUCUGGUCUCCCUGCAUUGCCCUGGUGCCUCAGUGGCUUGAAAGGCCUUCGAUACAGCUCUCAGGCUGGCAUGGAAAGAAAACUCCUCCCAAGUCUAGGAGGCGUAGCAUGACCCAUGGGGAGUACAGCAGCGCUUCUUUGAGGCUGGGCCUGGUGGCACAUGCCUGCAGCCCAUGACUGGGGCAGGAGAAUCCCAAGUUCCAACCCAGUAUAUGCAACCUAGCCAAAGUGUCUCAAAAUAAAAAAUAAAAUGGGCUGGUGAUGUACUUCAGUGCAAAGGCCCUGGGUUCUGUCUCCAGUACUAAAAACACACACACAGGCAGGCGCACACACACACACGCACACGAUAGUGCUUCUCCAUGGACAGAGCAGACUAGGAGGUAGAGACUGGCAGAAGAAGGAAACAGAGGCCAUCAACUAAGGCCUUUGCCUGAGCCAAAACGACCGCGCUUGAACGUCAUGCUGGCCGGCGUUCCUGGAGUGACUUCUCCAGGUAGGUGACGACAGUCAGAGGGCUAUUGUCCAAGCUGCACUCCCAGCUGUGGGCCUGGGGCAGGGCUCCCAGGGCCUGUGGGUAUCAGAGCCAGGCCUGCCCCAAACUUUCCCAGUGCGACUCCCCAGCUCCCUUCAGAGCGGGGGUAGCACUGUGGCCAGGGGUGAGCGUGGGCUUGCAGAAGCCCCAGAAACGUGUCCUGGGACAUGCAGGGCCACGCCGCUCCCCCUCAGGUAACUUCCUGUUCUCCGGCACAGGUGCAGGAAGGAGGCUCCUGCUGUGUGCUCCGGACUCGGGGUGCAGGAGGGCAGUGCAGGGGUGAGGGACGACCUGCCCUUGACCGGUGCCUGCAUCCUACGGCAGCUCAUCCCCGAGCUCCUCUGAGAGGCAGAUGGGGACACAGCCCGCUCAGGAGGGCGUGGGUCUCUGUGGCCUCCAGGGCAGAGCCCCAGACUGUAGUCGGGCCCAAGGGUCUGAACUUUCCAUCCCUGUGCGUCUCUCUGACUGACUGUGCCAUCGCUCACCAUGGUAACCAGCAGACUGAGACUGGGAUGGCACUGUCCUUGGCUCUGGACAGCAGGGGCCCCAGGCUCUGGCAGACGUCCCCACCUCCACCUGUGUCCUGAGGAAGGGGCCGUUCAUGACACACGGGUCAGGCCGGGCUGUCUAGGAGGUGAGGGACAACAGAUGUCCAUCCAUAGCCUCCUCCAAGCUCCAGGGAGGGCCGAGCAGAGACCUCAUCCCUGAGGCUGGUCCUGACUCCACCCCUGGGGCCGCCCUGUCACAGCCUGAACAGGACCGCCACUUUGCUGGGCAGGAAGCUGAGGCUCAGGGAGGGAAAGUGAUUCUCUCCGGCUGCAGUUAGCGGGUGUCUGGCUGGACCCCAGAGCCCGGCUCUGUCCUGACCAGCGAGGUCCAUGUCCCAGUUCCAGCUUGGUGAUCUGAACUCCUCUGAGCCAGCUGCAUGGAGAGCCUGUCCAUGCCCCCUCCCACGCUUCCCACACAGGCCAGGCUUGCAGCCCUCAGCCCUUGACUCCCUGCCAGUCUCCUCCCUGCCCUUUCUGGGACAUUCCCAAUCCACUCCUUGGAGGCUUCUCUUGAGUCCGGGAAAUCCACAGGAUACAGCUGAGCUGGGUGGCCAGACCCCGGCUGUGUCCCGAGAGAACAAAGUGGGACUUUCCCUGGACCCCACGUGCACGGGUCUUUUCCUCCCAGCAGGCUCUGCAUGGGUCGGGGCUGUUGCUGCCCAUGUCCACCCCUCCUCCGGGAGCCUCUCAAGGCCAGGACCAGCGUCAGGCUGUCUGUGGGCGGUGAACUUCCUGGGCUGAAGUGACAGGGCUUCCCCGACUCCUGCUGAUGAGAUCAUCUGCUGUUCCAGCCAGGGCUGAAAGGUCAACAGGCACAACAGAGCCGGCCCAGGAGAAGCCCUGCAUGACUCACCGAGGGCCCAUGCUGGGGGCUUCCGGCCCUGGCGACACCAGACACAGAGCCACUGUUAGCUCCGAGAGUCCUGCUCACAGCUCAAGCGGAGAAGGAGCUCGGGGAAGAUGAGGCACCAAGAGUAGACCCAGACCAGCCACGGAGUGCCCAGCUCAGCCCUGCAUGCACCGGGCUCUGCACAUGCUCCCUCCACCGCCUCUCGCCCUCUUUGCUUUGUGUGGUGCUGAGGUUUUAACCCAGGCCUUUGAACUGA